Long non-coding RNA from Tripterygium wilfordii, 820 nucleotides. RefSeq lists it as uncharacterized. Lineage: Eukaryota; Viridiplantae; Streptophyta; Magnoliopsida; Celastrales; Celastraceae. The transcript has 2 exons. The record is from RefSeq and is a predicted model, not a curated record.
UUCAUUUUCUGGUCCCAUUUUCGUGUCUCAACUUUUGGAAGGUACCCCCAAUCAUCCCUAAAAUGGAUCUGGCCACUGUUAAAUCUGAUCCCUAAAUUCUUCCCCACCUUCAUCCCAUCUUCUAGAUCCAUGCCACCACCUGACUGGGCCGGAUUUUCAGAGGCAGCAUUGUCCACAGCUGCUGCAGCAACCUCUGUGGCAGCACUCCGGAUUUUCAAUAUUGUUUGAUCAGUGUGGGGUGGGUGUAAAGAUCUGCUUGAUUACUGAAGCAGCAAUUCUUCAUUUUGGGGCUGUCUGACUGGCAUUUUGGAGAGGUGGGUUCCUUGGUGUUUGGCCUUUUUGGGCUCUCGAGGUCUGUUUAGAGGGUGUUGAGUGAGCUAUGAGGUGAGGUGAAUUAUGCAUAUUUGGUUCUACGGAGAGGUAAUACAGUAUUGAUAUCAACAAUACCGAAGAUAGGAGGACAAUGAUGGGACCAUACUAGUUGAGUGGGUUUAAUCUCAUACAUUCAUUGGAAAUGCAUCACCAAGAAUGGAUGUUGUUCAAUUGCAUUUGUUGCAGGUGGUUGUUUGAACAGGUACAGUAAUGGUUUGCAUUCCUUCAUGUCGCAAUGUUUGAAGCUGGAUUUUGAUAUAGAAUGUUGUAAUGUCCAAAGCUAAACGUCGUUUAGAUGGAUUGGUAUUGGAAUUUGUUACGGUUUAUUAUUUAUUUGAAGCUGGAUGUUGCAAGGAUAACGUGUUCAUUUUCAUAUAAUUUCGGGGACUAUAAGUCUCGAACUUAAUUACUUUUAGGACAUCAUUCAAAUUAUGGAUAAUUUACCACA